RNAcentral lists this ribosomal RNA (292 nucleotides) under uncultured bacterium. RNAcentral describes it as "partial 16S ribosomal RNA". The record is from RNAcentral.
GGACUACUGGGGUAUCUAAUCCUGUUCGCUCCCCACGCUUUCGCGUCUCAGCGUCAGUACCGUACUAGAGAGCCGCCUUAGCCACGGGUGUUCUUCCUGAUAUCUGCGCAUUUCACCGCUACACCAGGAAUUCCACUCUCCUCUUCCGGACUCUAGCCACAUGGUUUCCAUCGGCGUCUCGAGGUUGAGCCUCGAGUUUUCACAACGGACCUACAUGGCCGCCUACACGCUCUUUACGCCCAAUAAAUCCGGACAACGCUUGCCCCCUACGUAUUACCGCGGCGGCUGGCAC